Molecule: non-coding RNA, 74 nt
Organism: Trichonephila inaurata madagascariensis
Lineage: Eukaryota; Metazoa; Arthropoda; Arachnida; Araneae; Nephilidae
Source: the annotation of a GenBank genome assembly
GGCGCCGUGGCUCAGUUGGUUAAAGCGCCUGUCUAGUAAACAGGAGAUCACGAGUUCCAAUCUCGUCGGUGCCU